UCUCAGGGGCACCAAGGGGCUGGGUCACGCAGCAUGGCCAGUAUCUGUGGGUGCUUCAGCCCCGGAGGACCCCUUUACUAUCGUCCACACUCUGCAGCCUUUCUUUCUUCCUGCAGCCUAACGCCCACAGCCACACCCAUGACCUGAAGGGCACGUCCUCUGAACUCUGGACUGAAAACCCACAUGCCUCCAGUACUCCCGAUCCAUCUGGAUGCUGCUCAGGCAAGACGCGGGUGAUGACUUCUCUCCUCUGGCUGCGCCACCUGGUUCCUCCUGCUCAGCUCCCCAACUCAGCAAGUGAUGUCACCACCAGCUCUGUAGCCCCCGGUAGAAAUCUCAGUUCCACUAAUGCAAAUGACUCACCCCCCCCCCCAAAUUGUUUUCAAAUUUUGUCAUCUCUACUCCCACAGCCGGAUCCCCGUCCUCUCUUUUCCAGAGUAAUGCAAUUAUCUUCUAACUGGUGUUUCUGCCUCUAGUCUCUUCCCUCCAUCUCAGUUUAAUGACUGUCACCAGAGAUUACUCUGAAGCACAAAUCAUGGUCCUGGCACAUUGAUGACCCCGGCUUUUUGGCAUGAAGUUCAACCUCCAUGACAUGGGAUGCAAAGUCUUUCUCAAAACCGGUCCCAGGUAGCCUAUCCGAUCUCAUCUCUUACCAGCCUUUUCUCCAUUCCCAUCAUCUUAACCUCAGCUGCUUACAGCCACUCCCCAAACUUGAGCGCAUUCUUCAGACCCUGUAAGCCAUUGUGUAGAGCGUUCCCUCUACCUGGAGCGACUGGUGAGAUUCCAGGUGUCUUCUAGACCCAACCCAAAUGCCCUCUCUUCUGAGAAGCUGUCUCGAUGCUUCCAGGCAGCGUUAGCCACUAAUUCUUUCUGCUCUUGCCCCCCAGUAAAGUGUUUAUCAAAGGCGAUUAUUUUCAUACACUGAACCGUGAAUGUCUGAAGGACGUAAACUGGAACUCACUCUCCACUGUAUCGGUCAACAAAUGUUGAACGAAUAAAGAACCAGAUGCAUAGA
Long non-coding RNA from Leopardus geoffroyi (Geoffroy's cat), 1015 nucleotides. RefSeq lists it as uncharacterized. The transcript is spliced from 2 exons. The record is from RefSeq and is a predicted model, not a curated record. NCBI's taxonomy places the organism in Eukaryota, Metazoa, Chordata, Mammalia, Carnivora, Felidae.